This 608-nucleotide ribosomal RNA is filed under the name uncultured bacterium. RNAcentral describes it as "bacterial SSU rRNA". It matches the Rfam family "Bacterial small subunit ribosomal RNA", at positions 897 to 1504 of the family's 1533-position model. The record is from RNAcentral.
AAACUCAAAGGAAUUGACGGGGACCCGCACAAGCGGUGGAUGAUGUGGAUUAAUUCGAUGCAACGCGAAAAACCUUACCUACCCUUGACAUGUCAGGAACUUUCCAGAGAUGGAUUGGUGCUCGAAAGAGAGCCUGAACACAGGUGCUGCAUGGCUGCCGUCAGCUCGUGUCGUGAGAUGUUGGGUUAAGUCCCGCAACGAGCGCAACCCUUGUCAUUAAUUGCCAUCAUUCAGUUGGGCACUUUAAUGAAACUGCCGGUGACAAACCGGAGGAAGGUGGGGAUGACGUCAAGUCCUCAUGGCCCUUAUGGGUAGGGCUUCACACGUCAUACAAUGGUACAUACAGAGGGCCGCCAACCCGCGAGGGGGAGCUAAUCCCAGAAAGUGUAUCGUAGUCCGGAUUGUAGUCUGCAACUCGACUACAUGAAGUUGGAAUCGCUAGUAAUCGCGGAUCAGCAUGUCGCGGUGAAUACGUUCCCGGGUCUUGUACACACCGCCCGUCACACCAUGGGAGCGGGUUUCACCAGAAGUAGGUAGCCUAACCGUAAGGAGGGCGCUUACCACGGUGGGAUUCGUGACUGGGGUGAAGUCGUAACAAGGUAACCGUA